This 487-nucleotide ribosomal RNA is filed under the name uncultured bacterium. RNAcentral describes it as "bacterial SSU rRNA". It matches the Rfam family "Bacterial small subunit ribosomal RNA", at positions 28 to 507 of the family's 1533-position model. The record is from RNAcentral.
GAUGAACGCUAGCGGCAGGCCUAACACAUGCAAGUCGAGGGGUAACAUAGGAAAGCUUGCUUUUCUGAUGACGACCGGCGCACGGGUGCGUAACGUGUAUACAACCUACCUUUUAGCGGGGAAUAGCCCAGGGAAACUUGGAUUAAUGCCCCAUAGUAUAUAGACUUCUCCUGAAGUUUAUAUUAAACAUUUAUGGCUAUUAGAUGGGUAUGCGUCCUAUUAGUUAGUUGGUAAGGUAACGGCUUACCAAGGCAGCGAUAGGUAGGGGUCCUGAGAGGGAGAUCCCCACACUGGUACUGAGACACGGACCAGACUCCUACGGGAGGCAGCAGUGAGGAAUAUUGGACAAUGGGCGAGAGCCUGAUCCAGCCAUGCCGCGUGCAGGAAGACUGCCCUAUGGGUUGUAAACUGCUUUUACAGAGGAAGAACCACCCCCACGUGUGGGGGUUUGACGGUACUCUGCGAAUAAGGAUCGGCUAACUCCGUG